AUGAACUGGGUCGGAGGUUCGAGGAACAGACUAGUGAUGAGAAGUGAUGCUAAAAAGCAGCGGGAGUUUUUUGAAAAGAGGAAAUUGCAGCAGAGGCUGAGGAAAAUCGGGGUAGCUCUGCCACCAUCGUCAUCCAAAGACAUUAGCUCUGGGAGUAUGGACCUAAUGAGUUUGUUUAUAGUCGGUCAGAUUGCUACCAAGAAGGGAAAUCAAGAUCCUCCAAAAGUUGCUGUUCUUGGCAGUUUUGAUGGAAGCUCCAAGCAUCGGAGGACUGAGUCCAUAGUGCUCCCAAUGAGUCCCUGCUCUCCAUCGCAGCUGAACCUUGUCGAGAGCUCGUCUCAGUUUGGUUUUCCAGAAACGAGAAAAAGACAGAACAUAAAUCCACAAAAAUUCAAGUGUAGAAAGUUAUCACCAGUGUUGGAGUCAACGUUCUCAGACAACAGUGCAUCUGAUUACCUGCCUCUCAUAACUGGCCCGCUCAGCCCCACCUCAUCAGUCUCGAUGAGUCAAGGAAUAUUCCCGUCCCAGAUGAAAAUACAGAAGCAAAACCAGAGUCAGUUGCAGCUUUUUCCUCACUAUUCUCCUUCAUCCCAGAACACCCCAGUGCUGCAGCAGACCCAGUUUCAGCCUUUCUCCCAGCAGAUCAGUUUGACAGAUCCUGUUCCCUGGUCCAGCACUUCAAACCCACCCUUCUUUCACGUGGAGACCCCUACUGCAGUCCCUACCCUCUUUGGAAGCCAAAAUCUUGAAAAAACUGAAGGAAGUAAUAUUGAUAGAUCCGCAGCUACCUUCUUUUUUAAUCAACAAGAAAACACAGAGCUGGAUUUCUCACUUGACCGGUCACAAACUGGAAAUCUGCUUGAAGACGACGUCUUUGGUGGGUUUGGUGAUGACGAGUAUGAAACUGAAGCUUUUAACUUCGGGAAUCCAAAAUCCAAAAUAUCCCUCAGAGAUGAAACAUUCGUGCGAUCUGCAACACCACAAACCGUGACUAAUGUUCUCAGUGGAGUGGAGCUCUCCAACUGCGCUGACCUUAACUCCUCAUGUCCCGACCAGAACACUGAGCUCCUGAGUAGCUGUGAAAAUUUGCCAAGUUGCUCUUGCAAAGAAGGUUACCUCAGUUCAGACUCCAGUGAUGACAAAUCCUGCUGCGAGGAGUGUCUUCAAGACUCUGCUUUUAACACAGAUGAACCCUGUUGUGAUGACUCAAACUCACAGAGGACUCCAAAAUCCUCCAAAUCUCUCACCUCUUUUGCCAGACUCGACAUGAACUCAGGCAAAGACCAGAAAACUGAAGGGAAGGUAAUCAGCCCAAAUAAAACAUCUGGAGUCCAAGGCCAGCAGAUGGCCCCGUCUUCAUCUUCUCACAUUCUGGAACCAACUCAGAUCUCAGAGUUGUGCAAAUGUAAGAAAACACCCACCGAAGCUCAAGACGUGGGGAUUCAAACAGUACCCCAGACGCGCAAUGCUUCCACUCAGUGCAGCUUUGUCACAAACAGUGAGGCCAGAGCUUCAUGCAGCUUGUAUGAUAUGUCAGAGAAGCAACCAGCACCUCAACAGCAGACAGCUUCACUACAAACCACAAGACGAGGAAGUUGGCCACCAUGGAAUGAGUUCAGCGUUAAUAACAGACCUAAAGUUAUCCUACAGAGACCCACACACCCUUUACAGGUCAUCUUCAGCCCAAGAGGCUCAGAGAAUCGAGAUGAGACAGAGGACGAUGAGAACAGCCGUCAGAUCAAAGAGGCAUCAGAUGGGAGAGAGGAGGUCACAUCUGCUGGCAGAGUCCAGUGA
Molecule: long non-coding RNA, 1794 nt
Organism: Nothobranchius furzeri (turquoise killifish)
Lineage: Eukaryota; Metazoa; Chordata; Actinopteri; Cyprinodontiformes; Nothobranchiidae
Source: Ensembl